This 246-nucleotide ribosomal RNA is filed under the name uncultured Hymenobacter sp. RNAcentral's name for it is "partial 16S ribosomal RNA". It matches the Rfam family "Bacterial small subunit ribosomal RNA", at positions 94 to 339 of the family's 1533-position model. Lineage: Bacteria; Pseudomonadati; Bacteroidota; Cytophagia; Cytophagales; Hymenobacteraceae. The record is from RNAcentral.
AGUGGCGCACGGGUGCGUAACACGUAACUAACCUACCUAUAACUGGGGGGAUAGCCCGCCGAAAGGCGGAUUAAUACCGCAUAAGCUCUGUAGCUGGCAUCAGCUGCUUAGUAAAGAUUUAUUGGUUAUAGAUGGGGUUGCGGGUCAUUAGCUAGUUGGUUGGGUAACGGCUGACCAAGGCGACGAUGACUAGGGGAGCUGAGAGGCUGGUCCCCCACACGGGCACUGAGAUACGGGCCCGACUCC